This is a long non-coding RNA of Drosophila innubila, 200 nucleotides long. RefSeq lists it as uncharacterized. The record is from RefSeq and is a predicted model, not a curated record. NCBI's taxonomy places the organism in Eukaryota, Metazoa, Arthropoda, Insecta, Diptera, Drosophilidae. The transcript is spliced from 2 exons.
GAAAUUUCCUUGGAGUGAAAAUGAAAAUAUUGUUUAUUUUAGUAGUUGUCUUGUAUGCUGUUCACUACCCUAGUUCUUUAGAGGAGCUUCGUGCUAUGGGAUAUCGAAGCAGUGCAUCUUAAUCCUGCAGAUUUGGUUUUAUAAAUUAAAGAUUAUGUCGUUUGUUCAAAGCAUGAAUAUAAACUAUAAAUAAAAAUGUA